GAGCGGAUGACGGGAGCUUGCUCCUUGAUUCAGCGGCGGACGGGUGAGUAAUGCCUAGGAAUCUGCCUGGUAGUGGGGGACAACGUUUCGAAAGGAACGCUAAUACCGCAUACGUCCUACGGGAGAAAGCAGGGGACCUUCGGGCCUUGCGCUAUCAGAUGAGCCUAGGUCGGAUUAGCUAGUUGGUGGGGUAAUGGCUCACCAAGGCGACGAUCCGUAACUGGUCUGAGAGGAUGAUCAGUCACACUGGAACUGAGACACGGUCCAGACUCCUACGGGAGGCAGCAGUGGGGAAUAUUGGACAAUGGGCGAAAGCCUGAUCCAGCCAUGCCGCGUGUGUGAAGAAGGUCUUCGGAUUGUAAAGCACUUUAAGUUGGGAGGAAGGGCAGUAAGCUAAUACCUUGCUGUUUUGACGUUACCGACAGAAUAAGCACCGGCUAACUAUGUG
RNAcentral lists this ribosomal RNA (448 nucleotides) under uncultured bacterium. RNAcentral describes it as "bacterial SSU rRNA". It matches the Rfam family "Bacterial small subunit ribosomal RNA", at positions 64 to 507 of the family's 1533-position model. The record is from RNAcentral.